UUAAGCGGUAUUGCAAAAUAAACGCACAAUAAACCAUGCAUACGAUUGGAACUUAAUAGUCCAUGUAGCACGCUUGGCUGAACCAUUGAUUAACUGGCACUUUCGUUUAAUCCGGCUGGUGUAGAAAGAGCGAGGGAGAGAGACAGACAAAAUGGGGUGGAUGGAAAACUUCUUCUGUUGGAUAAAGCACUGUUACUUCCAGUGGGAGGUAGCCAGUAUGCUAGUGGUGAUGGACCCAAUAGAGAAAUACAUCUUCCACGCAUUCACUGUGUUAUUACUGGCAGUGGUAAUAUAUUCUACAGUAUCCAUAGUAACGGGAAUCGUGCCUUACCUUUCACUUCCCUUCCAAGGGGGAAACUAAUGCCAGCCUGGAUCGGGGUAUCCCGUGCCACAAACAGCGACGACAGAUUUUGGAAAUCACCGCAAUCCAGGACAUUAUUUUAAUGCCAGAAAGGUUUUAUGUGAGACAUUUAUUGUAAAAAAAAGACUUACAGUUGGUUUGAUUUUACUUUCAUGUCAAUACAUGUUCUAGUACUCCCCAAAAAGGAAAAAGUUAUAAAAAUAGCGUACCCUCAAAAAUGGAAGUACAUCGUCUUCUUGUGAGUUAUCAUGAAGAAAUAGGAAACUACACUUGUGUAAUUAUCACAUGUGAAGAAUAUUCUCGUAGUUACUGCAUGUAGAUCAGGAUAAGAAAUCUUUGCCUUUCUCUCUUCAGCUAGUCCCUUUUC
This is a long non-coding RNA of Magallana angulata, 728 nucleotides long. RefSeq lists it as uncharacterized. The record is from RefSeq and is a predicted model, not a curated record. The transcript is spliced from 3 exons. Lineage: Eukaryota; Metazoa; Mollusca; Bivalvia; Ostreida; Ostreidae.